CCCUUACCCGCUGAACUUAAGCAUAUCAAUAAGCGGAGGAAAAGAAACUAACAAGGAUUCCCCUAGUAACGGCGAGUGAAGCGGGAAGAGCUCAAAUUUGAAAUCUGUCUGGUAUCCAGGCCGAAUUGUAGUUUAUAAAAGUGUUUUCGGGGGCAGUCUAGGAUCAAGUCCUUUGGGAUAAGGCAGCAUAGAGGGUGAGACUCCCGUUGCUUCUAGACUUGCUUCUAUGUGAUACACCUUUGACGAGUCGGGUUGUUUGGGAAUGCAGCCCAAAAUGGGUGGUAAAUACCAUCUAAAGCUAAAUACUGGCGAGAGACCGAUAGCGAACAAGUACCGUGAGGGAAAGAUGAAAAGCACUUUGGAAAGAGAGUGAAAAGGCCCUGAAAUUGCUAGCAGGGAAACGAUGGCGCCUGGAGCUGGCUGGUGGAGGUAUAGCAAGGCCCAAUGGGUGUUGUGGAGCCACUGCCUAGCCUAGUCAUCACCCGUUCAGAGGGAGGUGCACGUGGUGGGGAAGGUAGGCCGCUCGUUUCGGCGAGAGGCUGUUAUAGCCCAUAUCACGCCCCUUUUCUUUGGACGAGGCGCGAGGCGGCUUACCGUCUGCGGCUUUCGAGUUGAUGGCGUAACGGGUGUCAUUGACCCGUCUUGAAACACGGACCAAGGAGUCUAACAUGUAUGCGAGUCUUUGGGUGCAAAACCCAGAAGGCGUAAUGAAGGUAAAGGCGCGUUCGGCGUGCUGAGGUGUGAAGUGAGUUUUCGGAUUCACUGCAACAUCGACCGAUCUGGAGGUUUUCUGAAAGAUUUGCGUGAGAGCAUACCUGUUGGGACCCGAAAGAUGGUGAACUAUGCCUGACGAGGAUGAAGCCAGAGGAAACUCUGGUGGAGGUCCGAAGCGGUUCUGACGUGCAAAUCGAUCGUCACAGUUGGGUAUAGGGGCGAAAGACUAAUCGAACCAUCUAGUAGCUGGUUCCCUCCGAAGUUUCCCUCAGGAAAGGG
RNAcentral lists this ribosomal RNA (993 nucleotides) under uncultured Chytridiomycota. RNAcentral describes it as "eukaryotic LSU rRNA". It matches the Rfam family "Eukaryotic large subunit ribosomal RNA", at positions 21 to 983 of the family's 3401-position model. Lineage: Eukaryota; Fungi; Chytridiomycota. The record is from RNAcentral.